UACAGAGGGGGCAAGCGUUGUUCGGAAUUACUGGGCGUAAAGGGCGCGUAGGCGGCCCGCUAAGUCGAACGUGAAAUCCCCGAGCUCAACUCGGGAACUGCGUCCGAUACGGGCGGGCUUGAAUCCGGGAGAGGGAUGCGGAAUUCCAGGUGUAGCGGUGAAAUGCGUAGAUAUCGCUUGGAACGCCAAAGGUGAAAACAGGUUGCUGGGGUUGUGCCGACGCUGAGACACGAAAGCCAGGGGAGCAAACGGG
Molecule: ribosomal RNA, 253 nt
Filed under: uncultured bacterium
Lineage: Bacteria
Description: partial 16S ribosomal RNA
Rfam family: Bacterial small subunit ribosomal RNA
Source: RNAcentral